GGGGCUAUAGCUCAGUUGGAAGAGCGCCUGGAUCGCACCCAGGAGGUCGCCGGUUCGAGUCCGGCUAGCUCCA
Molecule: transfer RNA, 73 nt
Filed under: Solirubrobacterales bacterium
Lineage: Bacteria; Bacillati; Actinomycetota; Thermoleophilia; Solirubrobacterales
Also listed under: 4 other names
Description: tRNA-Ala(cgc)
Rfam family: tRNA
About the family: Transfer RNA (tRNA) molecules are approximately 80 nucleotides in length. Their secondary structure includes four short double-helical elements and three loops (D, anti-codon, and T loops).
Source: RNAcentral